Long non-coding RNA from Oncorhynchus tshawytscha (Chinook salmon), 3178 nucleotides. Lineage: Eukaryota; Metazoa; Chordata; Actinopteri; Salmoniformes; Salmonidae. The record is from Ensembl.
AAAGAGCAGAGAGGUGGUGACUUCAUUCCCCUCUUUCACAAAACCUCCCCCUUUUCCCCUCCUCCUCCUUCUCCUCUCUCUCUGUGUGUCCCUGGCUGUGUGUCAGGGUGUUUCAGCAGCAUUAUGCCUGCAGUGUUCCUACUACUCAGAACCGUCCUCUCCAGUAGACUGAUAGGAUCCCUGCUCCAGUUCCUCAGGAGGACUCUGUCCUCAACCUUCAGCCACGUGGGAGCCGCACUGAGAUACGUCUGGGACAGGAUCAGCUCUCAGGAGUCUAAAGAAGCCAUCCUGGGCUGAGUGCUGUGUCUCCUUAACAUGCACAAGAAGGUGGAUCAGCCAGCAGCUGACUCUCACUGAGUCACUCUCUUGGCUUUCCUCUUCAGAAAGAAAGAGAGAGAGGACGAGAGAGAACAAGAACAAGAAAAAGAGAGAGAGAGAGAGGGGGGAGAGAGAGAGAGAGAGAGAGAGAGAGAGAGAGAGAGAGAGAGAGAGAGAGAGGAAGAGAGAGAGAGGAAGAGAGGGAGAUUUCUCUGGUGAGCUCUUUCUUCUCUUUUCUUUCACCCCUUGUUUAGUGUGAGAGAGAGAGAACAAGAGAAGAAGGGAGGUUUCAAAACUUGAAUAGCUUUAAUUUGGACUGUAGUAUUUCUCUUAGCAGAGUCGAGCUGCCUGAUUCAGGUGAACGAGACUGUAUUUCUCUGUGUGGACCGUAUAGUACCGCUGGGCUAACCAUGUCAGAGAGCAUCGUUAGGAAGAUACAACCCUUCACCAUCGGAACCAGGCUCUCCGUCUCUGGACCUGCCACCAGGUCUAAAGGUCCAAACUUCCCCCAGAGGCCGUCCUGGCAGAGCGACCGGGUCUCCCUCUACCUCAGCCAGGUGCAGCAGCAGGAGGGCAUAUCUACCCAGGACCACCGGAACCAGAAUACCAUGUCUGUGUCUCCCAACUCCCACCGGAGCUCUGUCUCUCCUACCGCCACAUCCAGAUCCAUCAGCAAGAUCACCAUCUCUGGGAGCCCAGAGGACAGCUCCUGGAGGAGACAGGAGGAGUCAGACCACAGGGUGGUUAUUGAGAAGGAGGACAGCUCCUGGAGGAGACAGGAGGAGUCAGACCACAGGGUGGUCAUUGAGAAGGAGGACAGCUCCUGGAGGAGACAGGAGGAGUCAGACCACAGGGUGGUCAGUAUAGGACUAGGACCGGGACGACCCCCUGUCACAGGAACUCCCGGAUCAGAAAACAUCAACAACAACAACAACAACAACAACAUCAGCAGCUCCAAGCAACAGCUGUCCAGAAUAGUGGGAGUCAGCUGUGAGAACCAACCCAGCUCACAUAUUAAGGACCAUGGCAGCAUGUUUGGGUUCCUACAGACGUUGGGGCCCAGAGCAAGGUCCCCAAGGAAAGACAGAGAUGCUGAGACAGUAGUGGUACCCCAGAAUGACAGCUACACCCAACGCACUUCACUCUUUAACCAGGAAGUACUACAGCAGGGUAGAGGGUUAAUCAGAGCCCAGCACCCCGGCAACUCUAAGAUCCAGGACUUCUUGAUUCGGCUGGAGGAGUUAUGGGAGGAGCUAAGGAGACGACAUCACAGGAACCAGUUCUACCUGCAGGCAGGGGAGGAGAUGAGCUUUAGGACAGUGCAUCUCCUCCAGGCCUUGGGUAGUAUAGAAGCUUGGUUGGAGGCAGCAGAGCUGUCCAUGUCGAACUCCCAGCUGGCAGGAGACCCAGAGACCAUGAGGCUGGCUGUGAGAGACAGCUGCCUGCUCCAGACAGAGAUAUCCUGCCGGGGAAUGGAGCUAACAGCACUCAGACAGGAGAUGGACAGGCUGGGUGGUCAGCGGGAGGGUCAGUGCCCAGGAUACCCCAACACUGAGGGCCUCCAGGUGCCACAACACCACACACAGGUCCUCCCAGAUCUUAUGGACCAGGUGGAGAGAAAGUACCAACGUGUCCAGACCGCGUUGACCCAGCAGAGUUCGUCGCUGCAGGACACCAGGAUGCUGACAGAGUUUCUGGAGCGGGUGGAGCUAGAGGAGAGGGUGGAGCUAGAGGAGACCCAGAAGGCCAGGGGUAGGGGCUACAGCAGUAACCUUGGACAGCCUCUCCACGGUGAGAUCAGCUCAGCUCUUACCCUGCUGGGUGAUGGGGGUGGAAGCGGUGGUGGGGAGCCCCUGAUGGAGCCGCUGGGAAACCCUGUAGAGGAGCUGCAGGAGGCAGUGGAGAUGUUGAAUGACACGGUCAGAGAGAGAGGACGAUCACAGAAUCACAUCCAUGAGCAAGCCAUCCAGACUAUGGUCCGACAGCUGGCUUUGCUGUCAGUGCGUGUGGAGGACAGUCUGUGCUGCAGUAGAGAGCUGAACCAGGAACUCCUACAGAGAGAGAAAGACAUGGCCAUGCGCUGUGAACCAGAACAAUGUGGACUAGAGGGACUGAAGGAACAGCAAGACCACCUAGAGGUGAAUUAUGCUGUGCUGAAGGAAGAGGUGGAGGAGCUCCAGAGACAGACUGGUUAUCUAGAGGAGCUAUGCCCAGAGAGAGUGACCUUCCUGGCGGUGGAGGUGCAGGGAGCCCUGGGGGUAUGGAGGGAAUUAAGGAGGAACGUAGAGGGGAACAGAGACCGAUUACGACAGUUUGUUCACCUGCAGGACUUCUUCAGGACCUACCUGGCCAUGAUAUCGUGGAUGGAGGACACCCGGGAGUGUAUUUUCUCUGAGAGAGUGUUGCAUUGUGGGAGGGACGACCAGGAGCCAAUGGCUGCGGAGAUGGAGAUGGACGUCCAGAUAGACAGGAAGUUGGAGGAGUUGGAGGAGCUGGAUGCUGCAGGGAGGAACCUGCUGAACGCUGAGCACCACCUGGCCAACAUGAUCCAUGAGCGUCUGGAGGAGUUGAGGUCCAUGCUGGGAUGGAUGUUGGUCCACUGGAGAGACCAGAAACACCAGAGGAGUCAACGCAGGAAUAACGAGAAUGAACCUAAUGAAGAUCUUAUCGACUCUGAGCCCCCAACAGAGCAGACUCCUGGAGAUAAUAUCUACUCAAAGACCACAGUAGAGUCCACUAGAGACAACAUCUACUCAGAGACCACAAUAGAGUCCACUAGAGACAACAUCUACUCAGAGACCACAGUAGAGUCCACUAGAGACAACAUCUACUCAGAGACCACAGUAGAGUCCACUAGAGA